CGGUUUGACUCCUACGGGAGGCAGCAGUAGGGAAUCUUCCACAAUGGGCGCAAGCCUGAUGGAGCAACACCGCGUGAGUGAAGAAGGGUUUCGGCUCGUAAAGCUCUGUUGUUAAAGAAGAACACGUAUGAGAGUAACUGUUCAUACGUUGACGGUAUUUAACCAGAAAGUCACGGCUAACUACGUGCCAGCAGCCGCGGUAAUACGUAGGUGGCAAGCGUUAUCCGGAUUUAUUGGGCGUAAAGAGAGUGCAGGCGGUUUUCUAAGUCUGAUGUGAAAGCCUUCGGCUUAACCGGAGAAGUGCAUCGGAAACUGGAUAACUUGAGUGCAGAAGAGGGUAGUGGAACUCCAUGUGUAGCGGUGGAAUGCGUAGAUAUAUGGAAGAACACCAGUGGCGAAGGCGGCUACCUGGUCUGCAACUGACGCUGAGACUCGAAAGCAUGGGUAGCGAACAGGAUUAGAUACCCUGGUAG
RNAcentral lists this ribosomal RNA (473 nucleotides) under uncultured bacterium. RNAcentral's name for it is "bacterial SSU rRNA". It matches the Rfam family "Bacterial small subunit ribosomal RNA", at positions 328 to 793 of the family's 1533-position model. The record is from RNAcentral.